AAACAAGAUACAGGCUAGCGGCGGACGGGUGAGUAACACGUGAGUAACCUGCCUUUUACACAGGGAUAGCCUCGGGAAACCGGGAUUAAAACCUGAUGAAACUAUCAAAUCACAUGAUUAAGAAAGUUAAAACUCCGGUGGUAAAAGAUGGACUCGCGUCCCAUUAGCUAGUUGGUGAAGGUAACGGCCCACCAAGGCAACGAUGGGUAGCCGGCCUGAGAGGGUGAACGGCCACAUUGGAACUGAGAAACGGUCCAAACUCCUACGGGAGGCAGCAGCA
RNAcentral lists this ribosomal RNA (280 nucleotides) under uncultured Peptoniphilus sp. Its description in RNAcentral is "partial 16S ribosomal RNA". It matches the Rfam family "Bacterial small subunit ribosomal RNA", at positions 78 to 355 of the family's 1533-position model. Lineage: Bacteria; Bacillati; Bacillota; Tissierellia; Tissierellales; Peptoniphilaceae. The record is from RNAcentral.